Molecule: ribosomal RNA, 552 nt
Filed under: uncultured bacterium
Lineage: Bacteria
Description: bacterial SSU rRNA
Rfam family: Bacterial small subunit ribosomal RNA
Source: RNAcentral
UUGACGCCCCGGCAGGCCUNCCAUGCAAGCCGAGGGGCAGCAUAAAAUUAGCUUGCUAAUUUGGUGGCGACCGGCGCACGGGUGCGUAACGCGUAUGCAACCUACCUUAUACUGGGGGAUAGCCCGGAGAAAUUCGGAUUAAUACCCCAUAGUAUUGUGAUAUCGCAUGGUAUUAUAAUUAAAGGAUACCGGUAUAAGAUGGGCAUGCGUCCUAUUAGCUAGAUGGUGAGGUAACGGCUCACCAUGGCGACGAUAGGUAGGGGGCCUGAGAGGGUGGUCCCCCACACUGGUACUGAGACACGGACCAGACUCCUACGGGAGGCAGCAGUGAGGAAUAUUGGUCAAUGGGCGCAAGCCUGAACCAGCCAUGCCGCGUGCAGGAAGAAUGCCCUAUGGGUUGUAAACUGCUUUUAUUUGGGAAUAAACCUCUUUACGUGUAGAGAGCUGAAGGUACCAAAUGAAUAAGCACCGCUAACUCCGUGCCACAGCCGCGGUAUACGGAGGGUGCAAGCGUAUCCGAAUCAUGGGUUUAAGGGUCCCAGCGUCUGAUAC